AUAAUAUGGGAAUUUUUGCAUCAUGCUCUUUAUUGUUUUUAGCUUUUUUUUUUUUAUUUUUCCCCAAUUUGUGCUUGGCUGGAAAAUUAUUUGGCCUAGGGUUUGUGUACACAUGUCCAUUUUGAACCUGGCCUUGCUUUUCCAUUUGUGAAAUGAUGGUUGUUUAUCCAAUGCUCAUGAAAUUUUACUUGCUUAAACUAGACUUCAUGAUAGACAUUUUGGUGUUGAGUUUGCAUUUUUAUCCAUUGCCAUUGCUGAGAUAUGAUCAUGUGAAUGUAGGU
This 281-nucleotide long non-coding RNA is filed under the name Lathyrus oleraceus (garden pea). Its description in RNAcentral is "Pisum sativum (pea) long non-coding RNA (PSAT_LNC026027)". The record is from RNAcentral. Lineage: Eukaryota; Viridiplantae; Streptophyta; Magnoliopsida; Fabales; Fabaceae.